This 2327-nucleotide ribosomal RNA is filed under the name Vibrio cholerae. Its description in RNAcentral is "bacterial LSU rRNA". It matches the Rfam family "Bacterial large subunit ribosomal RNA", at positions 525 to 2838 of the family's 2925-position model. The record is from RNAcentral. Lineage: Bacteria; Pseudomonadati; Pseudomonadota; Gammaproteobacteria; Vibrionales; Vibrionaceae.
CCCUGUGAGGGGAGUGAAAUAGAACCUGAAACCGUGUACGUACAAGCAGUAGGAGCACCUUCGUGGUGUGACUGCGUACCUUUUGUAUAAUGGGUCAGCGACUUAUAUUCAGUGGCAAGGUUAACCGUAUAGGGGAGCCGUAGCGAAAGCGAGUCUUAACUGGGCGCUCAGUCUCUGGAUAUAGACCCGAAACCGGGUGAUCUAGCCAUGGGCAGGUUGAAGGUUGAGUAACAUCAACUGGAGGACCGAACCGACUAAUGUUGAAAAAUUAGCGGAUGACUUGUGGCUAGGGGUGAAAGGCCAAUCAAACUCGGAGAUAGCUGGUUCUCCCCGAAAGCUAUUUAGGUAGCGCCUCGGACGAAUACUACUGGGGGUAGAGCACUGUUAAGGCUAGGGGGUCAUCCCGACUUACCAACCCUUUGCAAACUCCGAAUACCAGUAAGUACUAUCCGGGAGACACACGGCGGGUGCUAACGUCCGUCGUGGAGAGGGAAACAACCCAGACCGCCAGCUAAGGUCCCAAAGUAUUGCUAAGUGGGAAACGAUGUGGGAAGGCUCAGACAGCUAGGAUGUUGGCUUAGAAGCAGCCAUCAUUUAAAGAAAGCGUAAUAGCUCACUAGUCGAGUCGGCCUGCGCGGAAGAUGUAACGGGGCUAAGCAAUACACCGAAGCUGCGGCAAUGUCUUUUAGACAUUGGGUAGGGGAGCGUUCUGUAAGCCGUUGAAGGUGAAUCGUAAGGUUUGCUGGAGGUAUCAGAAGUGCGAAUGCUGACAUGAGUAACGACAAAGGGGGGGAAAAACCUCCUCGCCGGAAGACCAAGGGUUCCUGUCCAACGUUAAUCGGGGCAGGGUGAGUCGACCCCUAAGGUGAGGCCGAAAGGCGUAAUCGAUGGGAAACGGGUUAAUAUUCCCGUACUUCUGACUAUUGCGAUGGGGGGACGGAGAAGGCUAGGUGGGCCAGGCGACGGUUGUCCUGGUUCAAGUGCGUAGGCUUGAGAGUUAGGUAAAUCCGGCUCUCUCUAAGGCUGAGACACGACGUCGAGCUACUACGGUAGUGAAGUCAUUGAUGCCAUGCUUCCAGGAAAAGCCUCUAAGCUUCAGAUAGUCAGGAAUCGUACCCCAAACCGACACAGGUGGUCGGGUAGAGAAUACCAAGGCGCUUGAGAGAACUCGGGUGAAGGAACUAGGCAAAAUGGUACCGUAACUUCGGGAGAAGGUACGCUCUUGAUGGUGAAGUCCCUCGCGGAUGGAGCUGACGAGAGUCGCAGAUACCAGGUGGCUGCAACUGUUUAUUAAAAACACAGCACUGUGCAAAAUCGCAAGAUGACGUAUACGGUGUGACGCCUGCCCGGUGCCGGAAGGUUAAUUGAUGGGGUUAGCGCAAGCGAAGCUCUUGAUCGAAGCCCCGGUAAACGGCGGCCGUAACUAUAACGGUCCUAAGGUAGCGAAAUUCCUUGUCGGGUAAGUUCCGACCUGCACGAAUGGCGUAAUGAUGGCCACGCUGUCUCCACCCGAGACUCAGUGAAAUUGAAAUCGCUGUGAAGAUGCAGUGUACCCGCGGCUAGACGGAAAGACCCCGUGAACCUUUACUACAGCUUGGCACUGAACAUUGAACCUACAUGUGUAGGAUAGGUGGGAGGCUAUGAAGACGUGACGCCAGUUGCGUUGGAGCCGUCCUUGAAAUACCACCCUUGUAUGUUUGAUGUUCUAACUUAGACCCGUUAUCCGGGUUGAGGACAGUGCCUGGUGGGUAGUUUGACUGGGGCGGUCUCCUCCCAAAGAGUAACGGAGGAGCACGAAGGUGGGCUAAUCACGGUUGGACAUCGUGAGGUUAGUGCAAUGGCAUAAGCCCGCUUAACUGCGAGAAUGACGGUUCGAGCAGGUGCGAAAGCAGGUCAUAGUGAUCCGGUGGUUCUGUAUGGAAGGGCCAUCGCUCAACGGAUAAAAGGUACUCCGGGGAUAACAGGCUGAUACCGCCCAAGAGUUCAUAUCGACGGCGGUGUUUGGCACCUCGAUGUCGGCUCAUCACAUCCUGGGGCUGAAGUCGGUCCCAAGGGUAUGGCUGUUCGCCAUUUAAAGUGGUACGCGAGCUGGGUUUAGAACGUCGUGAGACAGUUCGGUCCCUAUCUGCCGUGGGCGUUGGAAGAUUGAAGGGGGCUGCUCCUAGUACGAGAGGACCGGAGUGGACGAACCUCUGGUGUUCGGGUUGUGUCGCCAGACGCAUUGCCCGGUAGCUAAGUUCGGAAUUGAUAAGCGCUGAAAGCAUCUAAGCGCGAAGCGAGCCCUGAGAUGAGUCUUCCCUGACAGUUUAACUGUCCUAAAGGGUUGU